GUUCCAGGCUGGAUAUCAUCAUAUACUGUAAGUUGGAAUGAGACACUACAGUAUAGAUGAUGUACUACCUUGAACUC
Molecule: non-coding RNA, 77 nt
Organism: Podarcis lilfordi (Lilford's wall lizard)
Lineage: Eukaryota; Metazoa; Chordata; Lepidosauria; Squamata; Lacertidae
Source: the annotation of a GenBank genome assembly